RNAcentral lists this long non-coding RNA (7128 nucleotides) under Capsicum annuum. Its description in RNAcentral is "long non-coding RNA (CANN_LNC019737)". The record is from RNAcentral. Lineage: Eukaryota; Viridiplantae; Streptophyta; Magnoliopsida; Solanales; Solanaceae.
UAGGCUAAGCAAUGCAAUACUAUUCAAUUUCUAGUUUUCAUCUUCCAAAUUUGUCAUGACCCGAACCAGGGCCUGGCCGUGACGAGCAUUUCGAACCAUAGAGGCCCGAAACACCCCUAUCUGUCUGGUAAUCAUGCACCUAAUUCAUAUGAUCAAAGUAAUGCGGAAGAAACACAAUAAUUCGGAAACAUGGUCAUAAAUAUGAAAAGAAACAAUAACGGGGAGAUAAGGUUCCCUCAACAUCAAUUAACCUCUAAACAACUGUCUGUGAAAAUCUCAAACAAAUGACUAAGUCAAGUAACCGUAUAUAAACUGGGACAAGGCCCCCAGUAGACCCCCAAAACUGUAUAUAAGAUAAAAGGACAUAAGACCUUCCGAAAUAUAGAAGGCUCACCACUUGUCUCUGCAACUCUGUCUGAAUGAUCUACUAAUUCUCUUGACCCCUAGACUGGGCCUCUGAACCUUGUGAGGUUGGAGAGGGGAGGGGGUCAGCACAAAAGUACUGGCACGCAGAGAUAUCAAAACAAAAUAUAAUAUUUUUACAAAAUAUGGUUGAGAGCCAUUAUAAAGAAAUUUCGUAUCAAAUUAUUUGAAAUCACAUGGGCGUAAUGCAAUAGUUUUCUCAACAAUCAAUGAAAUGCAACUGAGCUAGGUGGAAUACCCUACAUAAUUUACACCAACUGUCAAACCUCGGUUGCCGCUGAGAUUAGAGUAUAAGUGAGGUAGAGACACACAAGACACAUAGCAUGGUGUCUGGACCCAAUGGUAGUGCCCAAGAUCACUUAGCCCGGGAUCCUACCUAUAGUCCCAAUUUGGGAAUGACAUGAAGUCAAGUACACAAGAUCACUUAGCCUGGUACCAANNNNNNNNNNNNNNNNNNNNNNNNNNNNNNNNNNNNNNNNNNNNNNNNNNNNNNNNNNNNNNNNNNNNNNNNNNNNNNNNNNNNNNNNNNNNNNNNNNNNNNNNNNNNNNNNNNNNNNNNNNNNNNNNNNNNNNNNNNNNNNNNNNNNNNNNNNNNNNNNNNNNNNNNNNNNNNNNNNNNNNNNNNNNNNNNNNNNNNNNNNNNNNNNNNNNNNNNNNNNNNNNNNNNNNNNNNNNNNNNNNNUCAAGAGAGGAAAUUUCAUAUCAUUCAUGCUCUCAAGUUAACAUCUUUUCGGAAUACAUGCAUAUACAUAUAUCAUUAGCAAAUCACUUUGGGAGUAGGCCUAAAGGCCAAAUCAAUAUCAUAAAACGUUUAAAACAUAAUCAUAUUCGUAAUUUCAAAACCUCAUUUGAAAACAUGAAUUUUUAAAGCCCAUGAGAUUUUUGAGAUAACCCCACGCACCUCUAUAUGCGAAUAUGAUAGGUUCUUCUUGAAGCCUACGUUGUGGAGAUUCCAAAUCUUCAAUUUGUUUUGAAAACCCAUGGUUGAAUCUUGAACUAUUUGGGUUUUUAUUUUGAAACCCUAGAGAGAGUUCUUGAACAAAUUGGAUGAAUGAAGGUGUAUUUUGGGGUCUUUGGGAACUGAAUUUCGUGUUUAUGGCUAAAUAAGGGUGGAAAAGGACCAUUUUGCCCCAAAAACGGAGUGUUUAAGUCACCUGAAACUUUUACAUAGGCGGUGCCUAUGCUAUCGCCUAUGUUUACAUCGGCGCCGCCUACUUCUUUGAAAGGCCAUAACUUCUUGCUCGGGUGUCGGAUUUUAGCAAAAUUGGUAUUGUUGAAAAGCUAAAUCGAACACCUAUCAUUUGACACAUAGUAGGCUCUGUAAUUCAACAUAUACAGAUAGUUAUGGUCAAUGGAAACUGACACAAAUUACAACGUCCACUAAAACUUAAUAGAUUGAAAAGUUUCAACUCGCCCUUGAGUUGAAGGACCUCUAUGGUCUAAAUUCAAGCUUGAAUGGAUUCACAUACUACACAAUUAAUUAACAUGUCAUAUUGGCAUAGGAUUUAUGGCUUCGAGAUUAUCAACGCAUCGAAAUCAUGGUUUUUAUUCUAGCCCAAAAUGCGGGGUGUUACAUUAUCUCCCUCUUGGGAUCAUUCGUCCUCGAAUGAUAGGUAAGAACAUAUUGAAGCUUAGAGGUAUGGAAUAACACGGACACGACAUGUCCUCUAAUAAAGAAUACACUGAUCUGAAACAUGACCAUUUGGCUGGAACUACUAAUGUUAUGAAUUCUUAUACCAAACAUGCAAAUUUGAUGCAUGGAAUACAUGACUGAAGCUAUUCAUAAGCUGAAUUCUCAUAAUGAACAAGCAUAUCUGAUGCAUGGAUCUGUGACUGAGUUGUUCUCAUGAACGAAGGACUAAAUAUACUGAUAAGCUAAACUUUUUCUAUUGAACAUGCAUUUUUAAUACAUGUAUAUCUGACUGAACUGACGUAUGAACGUAUGACUGAAUACGCAAUGGCAACUGGUGCGGAGCUUGUAAUAAGAAUCUAUGCAUGCAGUUGAAUGGGGUAUCUCCCCCUUGGGACCUUACGUCCCUCUAUGAAUGUUUAAUUCACUAAGAUACUCGAAAAACUGAGGCGAUGCACAGGGCACCUAUGAAUUGAAUCAUAACUGAACAUUUGGAAUCUGAAUUUAAUGCAUGAUGCAUGAACUGGGCUAUACUCGUAACUACUGGUAUACUCUAUCUUGGAAUAGUAGCAUGUCUGAGAUUUUGAGUAGCAUGAAUAAGUGCAAAGAUGAGAAAACAAGUCAUGCGAAUCUGACUGCUAAACUAACUUAUUGUUCAUACAGACUGAAUUAUACUACACCCUCAUACUUAACUGGAGUACUCUCUUCAAAACUUUCUCUAAGGAAGCUCUAGCAGUAAUAGGGAGCCAUGCAUCUUGGGUACGGAUUACACAAGACAUCCAACUGAGGAAAUCACAACAUUGACACUACUCUGCAUUCUAGAAUAUAGAAAUAUAACUCCUAAAUUAGGAUAGAAUUUUCAGACCUUUGGCAAUACAGCUUCUUACUUUCAGGCUUAGAGCACUUCCCGAAUAUCCCUUGACUUUACUAUUCCCUAUAACUACCAUAUUCAUUCAACUCAGCUUAAAAUUCUCAUAUGAGCAUUGACAAAUCUUUCUACUAAUGUCGGAAAUAACUUAAUCCCUUCGCCGUGAUCAAGCCUAACUCUAAGUCAUAAAACAAAAUACAACAUGCCAGACCACGCUAUUAUUCUAAACCAUAUGAUGCCACCUUCUAUAUCUCCUUUAAAGAUCACAUCCUAAGUAUAACAUGCCUUACCACUUCAAUGACUACUAUAUGAAGUCGUUAAUGCAUAUUGCGACCUUCCACUACAAUCCCAAAAUGUCAUUCUAGCCUAAUUUAUAACCAUAUGUUAACUUCAAGGCAACCACACAUAAAUACAUACUUCACAUAGUUUCUAAACUAUUGUCAAUAUAACUCCCACGCGCUACCCUAAGACAUAUACACACAAAAUUUUCCACUAAAUAUCACAUGUAUCAAAGACUUGGCCCCAAAUGUUACUUCAUACUUAUGGCCUUAUCUAAAGAAUCAUACUAUGAUCUUCCAUCAACAAGAACAUUUACAUCAUCACCACUAUCAUUUCACAGGAAGGGUCACUAAAAGGUUAAAACAUAAGACCCUCAAGCGUGAAAAGAUCUUUAUACAGGACUGAGCACACUAUAAAGAGUGAGUACAUGCGUCAUGAGUUGCAUGACCUCAACUAGAGUUCAUAACAUAAGGAAUAUGAUUUCAACUACUUGAAUGAACUGGAACUCAUUAUCUUGGAAUUGGAAGAGUAUGUGACUCUCUAUUAUAUACCGGAAUCAUGAACUAUUAUCACGAAACUAAAUCGUAAGGCAUGAGUAAGCUUCUGGAUAACAAAAAAAUACUGAGGUAGGAAUGGGUUGAGAUUCACCCUCACUUUCUAAUGUUCUAAAUCAUAUACUGCAUCACUACUAGAAUCUGAGAGCCUUACUUGGUUAUUCAUUCUAUCAUCUCCCCCUUAGCUUCAAGUCAUCAUCUAGAGUUCGGGAGAUCCCUUACCAUAUUCUAACUGAACUACACUUACUGUACUCUAGGGUCUGAAAGAAAAAAAUGACAAUACAUGCAUAUCGUAGACUUAAACCGAAUGACUACCUUCUGGGAUACACUCUAUCUUUCCAUAGCCACCAAUAGUCAUAGUAUAAUACUUGCACACUUAUUUAUAUCGGUUCAACCUUCAAAACUCAAACUUAGAUUCUAACACUUAAUAUGGCUAUUUAGAUCACCAUAUACCAUCUAACUAGUCUUUCUCCACUUAACAAUUCAAUGGAACCACUAGCCACACAAAUUAUGUAAUAGUCUUAGAAAAAAUAUGCCGCAACCUCAUAUCACCUUGGCAUACUUCUACACCAUACCUACAACAUUAUACUUCAUUACGAAUCAAUUUAAACUUAAGAUAUAUCAUACACCGUUCAAUCCUAUUAGAUCACUUUCAUAUAAAUAAUAUCAUUGAUCAAGAAAUCAUCACAUCCACCUUUAUGAACUUCAACUGUUCAAACUUAAUGUCUAGUGCUAUGUAUGAUUUACAACCCAACCUUACACAAAAUUUUCACUUGGAAACUAUAAAUAAACAUCACGAAACACUAGUGCACUAGAACUUCAUAACCACAAUAAUCGAUCAUGACCUAACGGUUUUCCUUAUCAUAAUCCGUUAGCAUGCACUAUUUCAGUACCUCAAGCCUACUACUUUAAUCCCACAACCAUACACCAUUAAUCUCAUGCCACUAUUCUUACAUCCACAUCCAAGCCUAUAGUUUAGUAUCAAUCAUCUACCACCAAUGAAGAAUGCAACAUAAUAUAAAUAUACUAAUCCAUCAAAUUGGGACAUUCUACCCGAAUAUCUCAAAAAUCUAUUACAUACCUUCUCACAAGUGGCACUAGUUUACAACUACCAAUGAAAAGAGGGUCAAGGGGGUUAAAGCCUCAUAAUAGACAUGGUCAACCUUAUCCUUAUAUUAUAACCCCGUACAAUUGUAUCUAAUUAUACUGCUUUCUCACAUCAUAAUUACUUACCCAAGCGUACAUUUACACUACCUUCAAAUUUCUCAAAAAACCAUGAGUCUAUAAUCAUAACUUACUCGCUAAUAUAGCCAUUUUCACAUUCAAGCAACCAACAAAUCACCCUGACCAACAACUCCUUCUCUACCUUAUACUAAUAACACACAAGGAAGAAUCACUUCAUUACCAACUCUAUCUCAUGCAAAUAGAUUCAGCCAUACAUAUAUUAAACCAAUGAAAGAACAAUAAGUUGGACCACAAGUUGCUAGUGAAUCGAAACAGGCCUCACACGGCUUCACUAGACUUUGGUUUUGUAUUUUGAACAAGAAAAUGGGAUGAAUGACAAGUCAACUAUGCUAGUGAAUCGAAAGAGCCCCACAUGGCUUCACUAGACUUUUUAGUUUCAUCAACACAAUGAUAAAAUAUUUUCAAGAGAUAGAAACUUGUCACACAAUAGUCCAUAAUCUGAAAAUACACAUCUUACUUUGUAUAGAUAAAAAUCUGAGUCAAAUAUUUCCCCCACAGAUUAUGAUACAAUCCAUACAUAUUACUAGCUACCAACAGGUCAUGACACUGACAAUUUAACUUAUACUACUAUUUGGGUGGAAAUACAAUUCCAACACUCCUACUACAUAUCUUUUCCUUUAAGAUGACAUCUGCAACAUAAAUUUCUGAAAAGGGCCGAAUAUACUCAAUACAGAAGGCUGAAAAGUAUGAUUUCAUCAAGAUCAAGGUUCAAACUAGAACCCAUACACUCUAAAGCAAUAAUCGACUCUUCUCAAGUCCUUGCACAAUUUUAAGAUCUUAUAUGACGCGAUCCGAAGGGACAAUACCAUUUAGACUUUAAACUUCUUCACUUGAAUCACCCCAGUAAUGUGACGAGUCUGAGAACAUCCGAGUAAGAAAAGAAUUUGGGAUGAUUUUACUUUUGUAUGGACGUCACCAUAGCACGAAUUAAAGUAUGAAGGAGGAACAUUCUAACUCUGUUAAUCGAACUAGAACAUGAAGAAAGAGAGACAUUCUUAAACGUCUUGUAGCCUCCUGCUAAUAAGUGUGGCGUGCUACACACCCAUAAAUAAGAAUCUACCUGCCGCAAUUUCACAGACACCCUGGGACCAUGAACCAUGCUUUGAUACCAAGUUUGUCAUGACCCAAACCAGGGCUUGGCCGUGACGAGCAUUUCGAACCAUAGAGGCCCGAAACACCCCUAUCUGUCUGGUAAUCAUGCACCUAAUUCAUAUGAUUAAAGUAAUGCGGAAGAAACACAAUAAUUCAGAAACAUGAUCAUAAAUAUGAAAAGAAACAAUAACGGGGAGAUAAGAUUCCCUCAACAUCAAUUAGCCUCUAAACAAUUAUUUGCGAAAAUCUCAAACAAAUGACUGAGUUAAGUAACCGUAUAUAAACUGGGACAAGGCCCCCAGUAGACCCCCAAAACUGAAUAUAAGAUAAAAGGACAUAAGACCUUUCGAAAUAUAGAAGGCUCACCACUUGUCUCUGCAACUCUUUUUGAAUGAUCUACUGAUUCUCUUGACCCCUAGACUGGGCCUCUGAACCUUGUGAGGUUGGAGAGGGGAGGGGGUCAGCACAAAAGUACUGGCACGCAGAGAUAUCAAAACAAAACAUAAUAUUUUUACAAAAUAUGGUUGAGAGCCAUUAUAAAGAAAUUUCGUAUCAAAUUAUUUGAAAACACAUGGGUGUAAUGCAAUAGUUUUCCAACAACAAUGAAAUGCAACUGAGCUAGGUGGAAUACCCUACAUAAUUUACACCAACUGUCAAACCUCGGUUGCCACCGAGAUUAGAGUAUAAGUGAGGGAGAGACACACAAGAUCACAGAGCAUGGUGUCUCGACCCAAUGGUAGUACCCAAGAUCACUUAGCCCGGGAUCCUACCUAUAGUCCCAAUUUGGGAAUGACAUGAAGUCAAGUACACAAGAUCAUUUAGCCUGGUACCAAUAUUUCGUGUCGGCAAACACGUUUUCCAGCGAUGAGCCCUUACAUCUCAAAUGCCUUCUUCGGGCAUCGACCUUUCUUAUGUAAAAUCAAUGCAUUCAAAUUUUAUCUGAUUCAAUCACAUAUCAUGUUCUGUAGGGUAUCAUCAUACCCGACUUGCAAGUCCUCAAUAUCACUUCCAAAUAUGCAUAACCAUGUAAAAACCAA